AUGGCCGAAGUUGAGAAAGAGGUUCCAGAGAAAACCAUUGCUGAAGAUUUGGUGGUAACCAAAUACAAAUUGGCCGGUGAAAUAGUCAACAAAACACUUAAAGCUGUUAUUGAUCUCUGUGUGGUCGAAGCAUCUGUUCGUGAUAUCUGCACUAAGGGAGACAAUCUUAUUGUCGAUGAAACCAGCAAGGUAUACAAAAAAGAAAAGGACUUGAAAAAGGGAAUUGCAUUUCCAACAUGUUUAUCCGUUAAUAACUGCGUUUGCCACUUCUCUCCAUCCAAAAAUGAUGCCGAUUACAUUCUUAAGGAAGGAGAUGUUGUUAAAAUUGAUCUUGGCGCACAUAUUGAUGGUUUUAUUGCCGUAGCAGCACACACAGUAGUUAUUGGUGCCUCAAAGGAGAAAAAAGUAUCUGGACGCCAAGCUGACGUAGUUUUAGCAGCUUAUUGGGCAGUGCAGGCUGCACUGCGGUUACUGAAAUCUGGAAAUAGCAAUUAUACGAUCACCGACGCCGUGCAACAAGUCAGCGAAUCAUACAAAUGCAAACCCAUUGAAGGUAUGCUUAGCCAUGAGUUGAAACAAUUUAAAAUUGAUGGUGAAAAAACGAUCAUACAAAAUCCGAAUGAAAGUCAGCGCAAAGAACACGAAAAAUGUACUUUCGAGACGCAUGAAGUUUACGCCAUCGACGUAAUAGUGAGCACCGGCGAAGGCAUUGGUCGCGAGAAGGAUACAAAGGUCUCAAUAUAUAAGAAAACAGAUGAAAAUUAUAUGCUGAAGCUAAAGGCAUCACGUGCGUUGCUGCAAGAGGUCAAAACAAAAUACGGAAAUAUGCCUUUCAAUAUCAGACACUUUGAUGAAGAAACAAAAGCGCGUAUGGGUGUUGUAGAAUGCGUAUCGCACAAGAUGAUUGAGCCUUUCCAAGUUCUAUACGAAAAACCAGCUGAAUAUGUUGCGCAAUUCAAGCAUACUGUGUUGCUUAUGCCCAAUGGUGUCAAUUUGGUUACUGGUAUCCCAUUCACGGAGGAGUUGUAUGUCAGUGAGCAUAGCAUAGCUCAGCCAGAACUGAAAGAACUUGUCGCUACACCUUUGCAACCCAGUAAGAAGGGUAAAGGUGGUGCUAAGAAGAAGGGUGGUGCCGGCGCCGCAGUUGGUGCGGAUGCGGCGGCAUCGAAGGUCGAAACCACUCCGGCAGUGGAAACAAAGGCCUGAAGUGUGGCUACCGUUACUGCCUUUUAAACAAUAUAAACACAACCUAACAGAGAUGAAGUCAGCGAAUCCAACAGCAGCAGUUACAACAAUAUAUUAGAAGCAAUAAGGUGUUAACUAAAAUGGAGCAAAAGAGCGGAUGUUUUAGGAAUUAGUGUGCGUGUGUAUUCUUGUCGAUGCAGGAGCAACAAUUGAAACCAUCGAUUAGAUUUUGCACUGCAGUUAAUUUCUAUUUUAACUGAAAAAAAUAACAUAAUAAACUUAUUAUCAACAAGAACGAACUUAUCGAUAUGCAAAGGACCUUUUUGAACAAUGAUAGUCGUAAUUAAAUAUAAGAAGUUAAUGAUAACUACUUACAGAACGUACAUAUAAGGUUGCACCUUUAAAAAGAAAGUAAAGUAAAAAAACUGCACGACUUUUAUUUUAUAAAAUUAUUAAGAUUGUAUAUCGAUAGCUAAGCAACUUAAGAACAUCAUAUAUGUGUGUAUUAAAACGCAUUAUAUUAUCAUUUGCGAAGCGGUAAAAAUGCAAUUUGGAAACUGAAAACUAAACCUUAAAUGGUAGCAGUUACACAAUAAAAUUAGUAUUUUGUAAACAUGGAAUAAAAUCGUUUAUUAUCCACCGAAA
Molecule: unclassified non-coding RNA, 1830 nt
Filed under: Bactrocera tryoni
Lineage: Eukaryota; Metazoa; Arthropoda; Insecta; Diptera; Tephritidae
Description: proliferation-associated protein 2G4, transcript variant X1
Source: RNAcentral